This 460-nucleotide ribosomal RNA is filed under the name uncultured bacterium. Its description in RNAcentral is "partial 16S ribosomal RNA". It matches the Rfam family "Bacterial small subunit ribosomal RNA", at positions 338 to 795 of the family's 1533-position model. The record is from RNAcentral.
CCUACGGGUGGCAGCAGUGAGGAAUAUUGGUCAAUGGACGAGAGUCUGAACCAGCCAAGUAGCGUGAAGGAUGACUGCCCUAUGGGUUGUAAACUUCUUUUAUAUGGGAAUAAAAUGUUCCACGUGUGGGAUUUUGUAUGUACCAUAUGAAUAAGGAUCGGCUAACUCCGUGCCAGCAGCCGCGGUAAUACGGAGGAUCCGAGCGUUAUCCGGAUUUAUUGGGUUUAGGGGGAGCGUAGGUGGAUUGGUAAGUCAGUUGUGAAAGUUUGCGGCUCAACCGUAAAAUUGCAGUUGAAACUGGCAGUCUUGAGUACAGUAGAGGUGGGCGGAAUUCGUGGUGUAGCGGUGAAAUGCUUAGAUAUCACGAAGAACUCCGAUUGCGAAGGCAGUUCACUGGACUGCAACUGACACUGAGGCUCGAAAGUGUGGGUAUCAAACAGGAUUAGAUACCCGAGUAGUC